This is a non-coding RNA of Rhopilema esculentum, 4672 nucleotides long. The record is from RefSeq and is a predicted model, not a curated record. Lineage: Eukaryota; Metazoa; Cnidaria; Scyphozoa; Rhizostomeae; Rhizostomatidae.
UUGGCAGCCCCAGGUUCUUAACCAACAGAUUCUUCUCUCUUUUGAUUAGCAACGAUAAACCUGCAUACCAAACAGCAUUUUUACUCGAUACUGGGAAAGUGACCCAAUUCAAUGGAGGGCCGUUUAUGCAACAACCUAGCUUCCAUUUACGACUUGGAUUACUGGAACAACUAAUCUAACCCAAGACUCGAAGAAAAUUUUAGAAUGAUCAAAGGAUUAAUACUCUGGAAAUCAUGCCAUUGAAAGCGGACCAGUGGGACCUGAUGGCAGGAUGCUGGAUAGAUUAGUUCCGAUUUCAAAUCUGGCCGCUAAGAUGUUUCUUAGAUUUAUAACUUACAUCGUGAAAAAGGCGGUCACUUAUGCAGAACUGAGGAAAAUAGUAAAGGGGUGAUAUUAUCUUGCUCUAAGCGCCAAUCGAGUGACAAAGAAAUGACGUCAUGAAAAUAUGUGUGACGUCAUAAUUAAGGCUGAGUGUAAUCCCUGGGAAAUUUUGAGAGAUUGCGAAAUCAGUCAAAAAGAAAAAUUUUACUCACGAAAUAGGCUUUGCCUACAUCAUCUAAAACAAAAGGUUAAAUAUUGUGAAGGCAAAAACAAAACAAGAAAAGGUGUUGAUACUAUUAUAAAAAGAGUUGUGUAGCAUGUGGUGACAAAAACAUUACAAUGUAAAGAUAAAGAUUACAGAACAUAACAUAGAAAGUAACGCGAGAAUCACAGAUAAUAGUUUGUCAGAAGCAUCGCUACAUGUCGCCUUUUUACGAGGCUUGUACUCCGGGCAUUUUGCAUUGUCUGACAUGCAGCUUAACAACUCAUCUGCUUGCUUCCUGCCAAAUGUGUACGCUCCGUGUGCGUAACCAAAGUUAUCAGAAUCUGUUGCAGCUUCGCCGCCGAACCAUAACCUUUUGUUCACUGGAGCUUUCAGAUCCUCGUAAGUGUAUUUGUCAGAGCCAAUCACUGGAGAGGAAUAUGAACCGAAGGUUGUGUUGUCUAAUGACCAGCGGCUGACAAAUAUGCCUGAAACAGUUCAAGAUAAAAUAGUGACAUUUUAAUGUCGGCUUUGAAGAAAAGAAAAUUGCGAGUGACUUUGUUCCAUGUCCAGAAAACCCAGCGUACAUGGGCCUACCACUGGGGCCUACAAGGGCGACUGUGCUAGCCUGCGCGCAGACUCGAUUGGUUUUCCCAGAGAUGAAUUUAAUUGAAUGAUAAAUUUAGAGUUUGUCUCCCAGUAGAGUCUGUGAAUCAGCGACAGCAACUGUGUCCGCUGAUGUCAGCAUUUUGAAACGAUCGUCCAUGCGUGACGCAUUGCGACAGACGCAAGCAAGUUUUGGUAAGGAAAAGUUUGGACGUGCAGUUAUUGUUUUCAUCGCCGUUAUUUGUAUUGACAGUGGUUUUCAAUGGGUUUUUUAAUGUUAGCAGUUGAAAGAAAGAUGUAUUUUUUGUCAAGACAAAUCUAUAUGGAAAAUUAUUUCCUUGGUGAACUGCCAUGCAUGGCGGCAUAAAAGAAGGCCUACUGAUCGUUAUCGAAAAUUCCGUCAAAUGUUUAGCUCUCAAAAGUUGACGUGAAUCUCAAAUUUGAAGGACUUCCUCCGAGACUUUGCAUGCAGCUCCCUGCACUACAGGUUUGAAAAAUCUCGUAAAUGAUACUGUGAACAGAAAUCAACUGAAUAUUGAAGUUGUUUAAAGAGACUCUAACGUUCCCUUAAAGUUGUUGCUAUUCAUUUAAUUGUUUAUAUCUAUUCAAUUUUAAACAAUACAUCUUUAAAUUGUAUUCAUUUAAUUUCUUGCUGAAUCAUAGUGGCUUGAUUUUGGCAAGUUGUUUGUAUUUUUGCCUUUCGAAAAAUUGAUCGAAAUGUAAAUUAAAAAAGACAAUCUUUCAAGGGGCUUAUGAUAAACAAGAGGGUAACGAAUAUUGAUCUAAAUUUUCUAAACUUGGCUGGAAAUCGAGAGGAGAAUGAUAUGGCUGUGAGCUGUUGGGGCAAUGUCUUGGCAAUCCUUAGAAAAAACUUGAAAGAGACUUCUUUGAUCAUAAUAGAAUGAAGCAAUUCCAAGGCGGCAGGAAGCUUGACUAAAGCAUCUUUGGACACUUUUCUCGCUCCAGGCUCCAACUGCGACUAAUCUUCCUCCUGCAGGCUUUUCUUUUGCCAUUUUUAUUUCACAAUAACAAUGGGAAAAGUUUCUACCAAUCAGGAAUGGUUCCAAGAAACUGGGAACCGCACGUGACCUCGGACACGGUUUUUGUCGCUGAUUUGCAGACUCUACUGGGAGAGAAACAUUGAAUUUUCCAAUCAACUAAAUUUCCAAUCAACCAGAUUCAUCUCUGGAAAAACCAUUCGAGUCUGCGCGCAGGCUACGACUGUGCUAGCAAAAUGGUUCAUUGCUUGAUUCUCUGGUGCACACUUUUUUCAAGAAAAAACAGUUCAUAAGAACAUCAAGGCUUGAUUUGCCAAAAAAGGAACAGCCUAAAAAAAGCACAGCCAGUGUCGAAAAACUCCAGAGAACAACAGUAUGCUUUCUAACAUUUUCUGUUUGAAAACAAGAGUUGUUCACUUGUGCUAUUAUAAAAAAGCCAAGUGAUCUUAGAAUAAUUUAUAGAAUGUAAAUGUAGAAAGUGUUUGUUGAAAUAAAAACAACAUUAAGGAAACCCGAGCCACAAAAUAUUCAAAAAUUAAGAACAUCGUAAUUCCCAGCAAAAUUUCUUGGUUUUUACAUAAUAAGUGUAGUUAAAUUAGUGCAUAGCCUAAGUAUACAAACUGUUUAUGAUCCCGAGCUGAAUUAAUCAACGAAAAAUGACGUUAUUCCUGCCAUCAAAAAAAGUGUAGGCCAUCAAACCUGUUGCUGUAGUUGCACUGGGGUAGACUUGUCUCAGUACGGCCAUAACUUCGUCUUUCACUUGGGCAUCUGUCAACUUCUCAACCCGGACACUUUCUCUGUCGGUUACUGUGGCAAUCAACAUUUUCUCACCAGGAAAAAGUCCAGACCUGUCCAAGUUAUGAAAAUGGACGUAGUGGCCUCUUUUCUCACUUGCAACCAAAAUGUACCUUUAAAGACAAUAUUUAGUUUUACCCUGGAAAUUUGCUUGGCCGUCAAAGAUUGACUUUCUAAAAUAAAGGAAUCUUAGAUACAAACAAUCUUUUGGUGGUACAAAACUUGUAAAUGGCUUUGAAAAAAGCAAACAUUUAGUAAACUAAAGCUUUUCGUCUGACACUCUUCAGAGUUUAAAACGUCAGAACAUAGAUCGAAAACUCUACGCUAGGAAAUAUAUAUACCCAGUUGUGGAUCGAAAUAGGCCAAUCAGAAAACACGAGCACAUGACUGUAUAGGUUGACCAAUCAGUGCCGCUUGCCUAUUGAGACUAAAAGCUUUAGUUUACUAAAUGUUUGCUUUUCUCAAGAUCUUAGAUUCCUUCAACGUUUGUGACAUUAAAAGGAUGUAAGGAGGCAUUUUUGAAUUUUUUUAGUGAAAUAACAUUGAAAUAAACCAUGAUUAUGCAUUGGAAGCUACAUGCGAUUGUUUGCAAAAUAAAAAUACAGUAACUUUGGCCAAAGAACAUUACUAUGUAUUUGAUGGGCAAUCUUGAAAAUUCUUAAAUUAAAACGACAAGCAAAAUACAUGUUUGUUUGCGGAACCAAUGAACAAGAAUUGAACAUAUAAAAUUAUCCUAAAUUUUUACUUACUUUCAUUCAGGAAAAUCAUAAGACCUACCUGUUAUCAUCCCAGAACUUGGUUGGGAACUUCAAAAAAAUUUUCGUGUAGUAACCCAUCGGUAACAUAUAUGCAGCCUUUGUUUUCCAAUGCGGCAAAGGAGGGCUGAACUCUACCAUAGAGCUCACGAGAACCCCAGUGCUAAACGUGACGUACGCAUAGUCUGCUUCGUACGUAUCUCCGUUUUUUGCAAGGACAGUGACUUUAUUUGCAUCAUAAGUUAUCUUUUUAACCCGGGUAUUCAGUUUAACUUUGCUUGUAAAAUUCUUCGCAGUUUCCCGCAGUAAGUAAGCGAGCCCACGCGUGUCAACGACGAUUUCAUCACUCCCUUCUCCAGUAAAACCGACGGAUUGGGCACUAAGUAUCCAGGGAGGUGAUUCAUUUUCAAAAUCACUAAAGUAGUAGUCGAUCGUCUUCUCUGCUGGGGUUUCUGGUCGCCAACCUACAAGCUCUAAUGCUGUCUUCAAAGGUAUGUCAAAUUCUCCUGCAGCUGACAUCUUUUCGAUCACUGUGUACAUCUGAAAAUGAUAUUUGUAAGGACUAUGUGCAUCACAUGAAUAAAAAGCUUUAUGCAAUAGAAAACAACAUCUCUCGCCAAGGAAAUUUUCAAUGCUCAUAGAACUUGCGCGAAUUGGGUCAAAUCGGAACCUAGACCAAAAUGAAUUACUUUGAUGAAAAGAAAAAAUCGUGUACAAUAAAGGGGGUUUAUAAUAAAGAGGGCGUAAGAAAAAGGGGGUGUAAAAUAAUGUUUCCAUGUUAAUGUAUUCUGCGUGGAAUAAGAUAGACCGCAAGGUGCGGGACCGUUAGUAAGUAUUCCAAAAAGGUGCACUCUCUAAGAAUGGGGUCAUCCUCGAGAUGGGCCUGUUUUGCGGGCAGCUUAUAAAAAGACUUGACAAUUUUAUUUUACUUUUCAAUUCUGUCGCCUUUUAGUUCUCAGUUUUAAAAUAGAAAUUUUUUGAUAACGUCCAUUAAG